CCUACGGGAGGCAGCAGUAGGGAAUCUUCCACAAUGGACGAAAGUCUGAUGGAGCAACGCCGCGUGAGUGAAGAAGGGUUUCGGCUCGUAAAGCUCUGUUGGUAGUGAGGAAAGAUGGAGGUAGUAACUGGCCUUUAUUUGACGGUAAUUACUUAGAAAGUAACGGCUAACUACGUGCCAGCAGCCGCGGUAAUACGGAGGUUGCAAGCGUUGUCCGGAUUUAUUGGGCGUAAAGCGAGUGCAGGCGGUUCAAUAAGUCUGAUGUGAAAGCCUUCGGCUCAACCGGAGAAUUGCAUCUGAUACUGUCGAACUUGAGUGUAGAAGAGGAGGGUGGAACUCCAGGUGUAGCGGUGGAAUGCGUAGAGAUAUGGAAGAACACCAGUGGCGAAGGCGGCUCUCUGGUCUGCAACUGACGCUGAGGUGCGAAAGCAUGGGGAGCGAACAGGAUUAGAUACCCGGGUAGUC
RNAcentral lists this ribosomal RNA (465 nucleotides) under uncultured bacterium. RNAcentral describes it as "partial 16S ribosomal RNA". It matches the Rfam family "Bacterial small subunit ribosomal RNA", at positions 338 to 795 of the family's 1533-position model. The record is from RNAcentral.